RNAcentral lists this ribosomal RNA (253 nucleotides) under uncultured bacterium. Its description in RNAcentral is "partial 16S ribosomal RNA". It matches the Rfam family "Bacterial small subunit ribosomal RNA", at positions 524 to 776 of the family's 1533-position model. The record is from RNAcentral.
UACGUAGGGUGCAAGCGUUAAUCGGAAUUACUGGGCGUAAAGCGUGCGCAGGCGGUGAUGUAAGACAGAUGUGAAAUCCCCGGGCUCAACCUGGGAACUGCAUUUGUGACUGCAUAGCUAGAGUACGGUAGAGGGGGAUGGAAUUCCGCGUGUAGCAGUGAAAUGCGUAGAUAUGCGGAGGAACACCGAUGGCGAAGGCAAUCCCCUGGGCCUGCACUGACGCUCAUGCACGAAAGCGUGGGGAGCAAACAGG